AUUGAACGCUGGCGGCAGGCCUAACACAUGCAAGUCGAACGGUAACAGGAAGCAGCUUGCUGCUUCGCUGACGAGUGGCGGACGGGUGAGUAAUGUCUGGGAAGCUGCCUGAUGGAGGGGGAUAACUACUGGAAACGGUAGCUAAUACCGCAUAAUGUCGCAAGACCAAAGAGGGGGACCUUCGGGCCUCUUGCCAUCGGAUGUGCCCAGAUGGGAUUAGCUUGUUGGUGGGGUAACGGCUCACCAAGGCGACGAUCCCUAGCUGGUCUGAGAGGAUGACCAGCCACACUGGAACUGAGACACGGUCCAGACUCCUACGGGAGGCAGCAGUGGGGAAUAUUGCACAAUGGGCGCAAGCCUGAUGCAGCCAUGCCGCGUGUAUGAAGAAGGCCUUCGGGCUGUAAAGUACUUUCAGCGGGGAGGAAGGGAGUAAAGUUAAUACCUUUGCUCAUUGACGUUACCCGCAGAAGAAGCACCGGCUAACUCCGUGCCAGCAGCCGCGGUAAUACGGAGGGCGCAAGCGUUAAUCGGAAUUACUGGGCGUAAAGCGCACGCAGGCGGUUUGUUAAGUCAGAUGUGAAAUCCCCGGGCUCAACCUGGGAACUGCAUCUGAUACUGGCAAGCUUGAGUCUCGUAGAGGGGGGUAGAAUUCCAGGUGUAGCGGUGAAAUGCGUAGAGAUCUGGAGGAAUACCGGUGGCGAAGGCGGCCCCCUGGACGAAGACUGACGCUCAGGUGCGAAAGCGUGGGGAGCAAACAGGAUUAGAUACCCUGGUAGUCCACGCCGUAAACGAUGUCGACUUGGAGGUUGUGCCCUUGAGGCGUGGCUUCCGGAGCUAACGCGUUAAGUCGACCGCCUGGGGAGUACGGCCGCAAGGUUAAAACUCAAAUGAAUUGACGGGGGCCCGCACAAGCGGUGGAGCAUGUGGUUUAAUUCGAUGCAACGCGAAGAACCUUACCUGGUCUUGACAUCCACGGAAGUUUUCAGAGAUGAGAAUGUGCCUUCGGGAACCGUGAGACAGGUGCUGCAUGGCUGUCGUCAGCUCGUGUUGUGAAAUGUUGGGUUAAGUCCCGCAACGAGCGCAACCCUUAUCCUUUGUUGCCAGCGGUCCGGCCGGGAACUCAAAGGAGACUGCCAGUGAUAAACUGGAGGAAGGUGGGGAUGACGUCAAGUCAUCAUGGCCCUUACGACCAGGGCUACACACGUGCUACAAUGGCGCAUACAAAGAGAAGCGACCUCGCGAGAGCAAGCGGACCUCAUAAAGUGCGUCGUAGUCCGGAUUGGAGUCUGCAACUCGACUCCAUGAAGUCGGAAUCGCUAGUAAUCGUGGAUCAGAAUGCCACGGUGAAUACGUUCCCGGGCCU
Molecule: ribosomal RNA, 1363 nt
Filed under: uncultured bacterium
Lineage: Bacteria
Description: bacterial SSU rRNA
Rfam family: Bacterial small subunit ribosomal RNA
Source: RNAcentral